Long non-coding RNA from Oncorhynchus tshawytscha (Chinook salmon), 615 nucleotides. Lineage: Eukaryota; Metazoa; Chordata; Actinopteri; Salmoniformes; Salmonidae. The record is from Ensembl.
UACAGAGUCAAUGUGGAGGCUAUAUACAGGGGGUACCGGUACAGAGUCAAUGUGGAGGCUAUAUACAGGGGGUACCGGUACAGAGUCAAUGUGGAGGCUAUAUACAGGGGGUACUGGUACAGAGUCAAUGUGGAGACUAUAUACAGGGGGUACCGGUACAGAGUCAAUGUGGAGGCUAUAUACAGGGGGUUACGGUACAGAGUCAAUGUGGAGGCUAUAUACAGGGGGUAUCGGUACAGAGUCAAUGUGGAGGCUAUAUACAGGGGGUACCGGUACAGAGUCAAUGUGGAGGCUAUAUACAGGGGGUACCGGUACAGAGUCAAUGUGGAGGCUAUAUACAGGGGGUACCGGUACAGAGUCAAUGUGGAGGCUAUAUACAGGGUGUUACGGUACAGAGUCAAUGUGGAGGCUAUAUACAGGGGGUACCGGUACAGAGUCAAUGUGGAGGCUAUAUACAGGGGGUACCGGUACAGAGUCAAUGUGGAGGCUAUAUACAGGGGGUACCGGUACAGAGUCAAUGUGGAGGCUAUAUACAGGGGGUACCGGUACAGAGUCAAUGUGGAGGCUAUAUACAGGGUGUUACGGUACAGAGUCAAUGUGGAGGCUAUAUACAGG